AUACGCCCUUCGGGGGAAAGAAUUUCGGUGAGGGAUCGGCCCGCGUUAGAUUAGUUAGUUGGUGGGGUAAUGGCCUACCAAGACUACGAUCUAUAGCUGGUUUGAGAGGAUGAUCAGCAACACUGGGACUGAGACACGGCCCAGACUCCUACGGGAGGCAGCAGUGGGGAAUCUUAGACAAUGGGGGCAACCCUGAUCUAGCGAUGCCGCGUGAGUGAUGAAGGCCUUAGGGUCGUAAAGCUCUUUCGCCUGUGAUGAUAAUGACAGUAGCAGGUAAAGAAACCCCGGCUAACUCCGUGCCAGCAGCCGCGGUAAUACGGAGGGGGUUAGCGUUGUUCGGAAUUACUGGGCGUAAAGCGCACGUAGGCGGAUUAGUCAGUCAGAGGUGAAAUCCCAGGGCUCAACCCUGGAACUGCCUUUGAUACUGCUAGUCUUGAGUUCGAGAGAGGUAAGUGGAAUUCCGAGUGUAGAGGUGAAAUUCGUAGAUAUUCGGAGGAACACCAGUGGCGAAGGCGGCUUACUGGCUCGAUACUGACGCUGAGGUGCGAAAGUGUGGGGAGCAAACAGGAUUAGAUACCCUGGUAGUCCACACCGUAAACGAUGAAUGCCAGUCGUCGGGUAGCAUGCUAUUCGGUGA
RNAcentral lists this ribosomal RNA (637 nucleotides) under Celeribacter sp. RNAcentral describes it as "bacterial SSU rRNA". It matches the Rfam family "Bacterial small subunit ribosomal RNA", at positions 173 to 846 of the family's 1533-position model. Lineage: Bacteria; Pseudomonadati; Pseudomonadota; Alphaproteobacteria; Rhodobacterales; Roseobacteraceae. The record is from RNAcentral.